GACGAACGCUGGCGGCGUGCUUAACACAUGCAAGUCGAACGGGCCUUGUCCCCUUUUUUUUGGGGGUGGGGUUAGUGGCGAACGGGUGAGUAACACGUGAGUAACCUGCCCCUCACUUCUGGAUAACCGCUUGAAAGGGUGGCUAAUACGGGGUGUUCUGGCCUGCUCGCAUGGGUGGGUUUGGAAAGAUUCGACCGGUUUUGGUUGUUUUGGUGGGGGAUGGGCUCGCGGCCUAUCAGCUUGUUGGUGGGGUGAUGGCCUGCCAAGGCUUUGACGGGUAGCCGGCCUGAGAGGGUGGGCGGUCACACUGGGACUGAGACACGGCCCAGACUCCUACGGGAGGCAGCAGUGGGGAAUAUUGCACAAUGGGCGCAAGCCUGAUGCAGCGACGCCGCGUGAGGGAUGGAGGCCUUCGGGUUGUGAACCCCUUUCGCCAGUGAAGAAGGUCCUGCUCUUUGUGGUGGGGUUGACGGUAGCUGGGUUAAUGAAGCGCCGGCUAACUACGUG
This 507-nucleotide ribosomal RNA is filed under the name uncultured bacterium. Its description in RNAcentral is "partial 16S ribosomal RNA". It matches the Rfam family "Bacterial small subunit ribosomal RNA", at positions 28 to 507 of the family's 1533-position model. The record is from RNAcentral.